Glycine soja is the source of this 1536-nucleotide long non-coding RNA. RefSeq lists it as uncharacterized. The record is from RefSeq and is a predicted model, not a curated record. The transcript is spliced from 2 exons. Lineage: Eukaryota; Viridiplantae; Streptophyta; Magnoliopsida; Fabales; Fabaceae.
AUGAAUCAUCUUUUCUUAUAAUGACACAUUGACAAACUCAUUAAAUGGGAUAAAUAAAACUACAAUUAUCAAACCCUCAAGCCCGUUAAAAGUAUUACUAUACAAGUAAGACUAUGUGAUUUUCUCCGGUAAAAAAUCAAGACGCAGGCUAGCAUGCGGGACCUCAACAUAUGUCUCCCACGGAGUGAAAGGUUUUAUGACAGUAGGAUAUGUGUUUCUUUGAGGAUGCGUGUAGGUGCGCAGAUCAUGCACCACCUCGUCCACGACCCAUAUUCCCAUGCUAGACGCGCCCAGAAAAUCAAAAACCUCCUCGUGCAUGCAUUAAUUCUUCACCAAACCCACAUAAGAGAUGAGGCCCUCACGUUUUCCUCUAGCACCAAGCUCACCUCCACUCUUCAAAGUGAUAAAAAUAAAAAGGGUCAGGGCUACUGAGUUAUGUAUAUGUAUACGGAUAUAACAUCUAGCAUCCCAAAAGAUGAUUCGGACAAAAAGUAAAUUUUAUGACUGCCAGUGUCCCCUUUAAAACCUCUGACUACCAUAGCCUGCAGUAUAUUAUCUUAAACUAUCAGAAUAUAAUCUUCAGAUUAUGAUGACUACAACGAUAUAACAGCAGAUUAGCAUUGACAGGUCAGUUUAUAAGUGGUCCAGGGAAAUUGAGUAAAGUAACAGGAAUGUUUUGUUUGGCAGGGGACUAGGGGGGCAAUAGAGUGGGGGCGGGGGGGAGAGAAAUAGAAGGGAAAUACUGUGGGUCCCAUAUGAGUCCCACACUCUCUACUCUAAUUUAAAUAUUUCUCCUCUAUUUCCAGCCUCUCUACCAGACAAUGCUAAUUUAAUGAAAGUACAUAUUUUCUGAACUCAGCAUUGUAGGGUGGACUACCUUUAUAGGUGGUCCGUGAACCACUAUUAAUGACCCUAGGGUGAAUGAUGUUGGUAGUCAGUCUAGAUCCGCUCAAGGCCAUGGCAAACGGUGGUGGUGCUCGAUCCACAUCCACACAAGGCCCGGACAAACAAUGGUGGUGCUCGGUCUAGAUCCGGUUAAGGCCACUACAAACGAUCAAAGUGGUGCUCAUGAUGUUCUCUCGCGUUUCCAGAUCUGAUCAUAGAGAUCCUCAUCCCCGCCUUUGCUGCUACAACUCUUAUUAUUUACUUUAAUUAUUUUUAGUUUGUUUGUAUCGUUUAACUGAAGAAUUAGGAAUCUUCAAUUUUCUUGAUCUGUGUAUAUGUAUUUUGGGAACUUUUGAUAUGUCAAGUGGAUUCAUGGUUUGAUUUGUUCUUUGCUGCAAGGAACCAUGUGUUUGGUUUUUCCCCCAACUUCUGUUUUGAGCUCCAUGUUUUCAAGCUAAUAAUGUAUUCUAAUCCACAGCACCAUGAAUUAUGAGAGCAUCAGGUGGACAAUCGGUGUUGGAUUGAUGUCCCUACACAGUACAUUACUCACAAUGUGUUUGGGUUAUUUGUUUUUUUAUUGCUUGAAUUAUUGUUUGGAAUUUGUUGAUGAACUAAUAUGGAAAUUCUGCUAUUUAAUUUUUAGAUUUUGAA